Molecule: long non-coding RNA, 2161 nt
Organism: Diceros bicornis minor
Lineage: Eukaryota; Metazoa; Chordata; Mammalia; Perissodactyla; Rhinocerotidae
Exons: 3
Source: RefSeq, a predicted model, not a curated record
UGGAUACUUUUAUAUAGGCUACUGAGAUUCCUCAAGGCUUAAAGGAGGAGAGCCUUCCCUGACUAGGCCCAAGAGAACUUACCCAGAGAAGGCAGAAGGAGAGCACCAGUGGCAGACUUACUGUCUUCCUGGUUUUGAUGAAGAAAACUGCACAUUGAAGAGGCCUGUGUGGCAAGGGACUAGGCGAAGCCUCCAGGCAACAACCAGUGAGAAAUCGAAGUCCUAGAUUGAACAACCUCAAGGAUCUGAAUUCUGCCAACAACUACAUAAACAAGCUUGGAAAGGGGACUCUUCCCCAGGGGAGCUUUCAGAGAACUUAAAGGAUUCCUCUUACCCCCCCUGCAGGAUCUUGCUGGUCCUCAAAGUGUGGGUUGAUGUGUUAGCUACGUGCUGUUUCCGCAGAAGCCUUGUGAGGUAGCAAUUUCAAAGGUCUUAUAAACAAGUGUACCUAGUGAGGAUGCAUUAACUCUCCCAUCCUAACCAACAAAAAGAAGCAGAGCAAGUAUAUUUUGAUUAUGAACUAACGCUUCACUGUCACAAUGCCAGUAGUUUCUGGGCAAAAGUCAACUAAAAGAAAUUGUUAGGAAGGAAGGUUAUUAAUGCCAAGAUCUGUGAUUUCUGCAAGCUGGUUUUGUUUUGUGACCAUUUUUAGUGUGAUUUUUAAAAUAAGCAUGAGUGUGGACGGCAUUUCACUGAACCACAGGAUUUCAAACUGUAAGGAAUCUUAGAGAUCAGUUUAAUUCCAUCACCUCAUCGUCUGAAUUGAGGAAACCAAGAUCAUCAGUGGGUGAGUGACUUAUACAAGAACAUACUUCUAGUGGAAGAUUCAAGACUCUGGCUCAUAAAGGAGGCUAUUAAAUGGGUGAAUAAAUGGCAUCAAAUGAUUUAUAAAGAAUUCAUGAGGAUCUGAGGUUGAAAGAUUGCUGAAGCAUGAAACCUCUAAGUUUAUAAUUUUUGUUACUAUUAUUUAAAAAUAUAUUUUUGGAGAAGCACAUUAGAAAGAUGUAGUAUACACGAUGUUGGAAGGAGAGGUUCUGGUUAGCAAUAGAGGAAAUCUCUCAAUACUUCACUAACAUCUAUCCUACUUAACAGAUGAUAUGAAAUCUCACAGCAUAAAAACUAAAAUUAAGAGUCAAUUUAUUGUCAUAACCAGGGACAGAAAACGCGAGACCACUAAAGCCCAGAGACUUUGCUAGCAACACAGAAGCAACCUGCAAAUACUAAAAAAAAGAUAGAAAUAGGCUUUAUUGCCUCCCUUGUGGUCUGACUUCUGGCUCAGAGACUAAGAGACUAGCUAACACACCAGAAAACUAAAAUUACAACAGCAAAAAUAAAGUUAACAGUAAGAUGGUCAAGAGGAAAAAUGAUUCUUUAGGACAAGUCACUGAGGUGGAGAAAUCUCUUGAAGGAUCAGGAGAAAGGACAACAUGAUGAAGCCAAUGAGAAAUGAUAGAAAUGUAUAUAUGUGUGCACCAAAAACACGAUUAGACCUAUAAAGCACAGGGAUUCCAACCUAUAAAGGGCAGAAACAGUCAAGGAAAGCUACAACAGACUUGAUACCAAAGAUAUGACUGAAAAGAAGUUAAUACUUGUAAAUUUAUCUAUUUUAACAGUUAAAAUUGUUUAAUUUUUAGGUGAUUUAAAAAUAAGAUAAAACAAAGAAAAUAAAGGAAAUAUGAAAUAAAUCAAAACAGAAAACAAAAAAAUGGACCAAACAUAUCAACUAUAACAAUAACUAUAAAUGGUUUAGUGAAACCCCUUUUUCAAGAGACAAUUAUUUUCAGAGUGAGUUUAGAAAACCUAAAUCCAGUUACACGCUGCUAAUAAGGGAUAUGCCUAAACCAAAGUUAAAGGUAAAUUGUAGGCAAUUAAGAGAGUGUGGUAACAGCACAUAGAUAAACAAAUAGACCAGGGAACAGAACAGAGAAUCCAGAAACACACUUAUAUAGUUGCUUGAUUCAUGACGAAGGCAACACUACAGUGCAGUGGGGAAAGCAUAGACUUUUCAACAAAUGGUGCUGGGUUAAUUGGAUAACCAUACGGGUGGAAAAAAUCUCAUCUGCUACCUCACACCAUACACAAAAAUAAUUCCAGGAAAAUGAUAAAGGCAAGUGUGAAAUACAAAACAAUAAAGUGCUAUGAAAAAAAAAAAACCUUAGGA